AGGACGAACGCUGGCGGCGUGCUUAACACAUGCAAGUGGAGCGACGAACCAGGGCUUGCCCUGGGGCAGAGCCGCGAACGGGUGAGUAACACGUGGGUUACCUGCCUUGAUGACUGGGACAACCCGGGGAAACUCGGGCUAAUACCGGAUGUGCCCGCAAGGGGAAAGGAAGCUUCGGCCUCCGCAUCAAGAUGGGCCCGCGGCCCAUUAGCUUGUUGGUGAGGUAACGGCUCACCAAGGCUUCGAUGGGUAGCUGGUCUGAGAGGACGAUCAGCCACACUGGGACUGAGACACGGCCCAGACUCCUACGGGAGGCAGCAGUGGGGAAUCUUGCGCAAUGCGCGAAAGCCUGACGCAGCCAUGCCGCGUGAAUGAUGAAGGUCUUAGGAUUGUAAAAUUCUUUCAGCGGGGACGAUAAUGACGGUACCCGCAGAAGAAGCCCCGGCUAACUUCGCGCCAGCAGCCGCGGUAA
RNAcentral lists this ribosomal RNA (472 nucleotides) under uncultured bacterium. RNAcentral's name for it is "SSU rRNA". It matches the Rfam family "Bacterial small subunit ribosomal RNA", at positions 26 to 523 of the family's 1533-position model. The record is from RNAcentral.